UUUCCGUAGGUGAACCUGCGGAAGGAUCAUUAUAAAUGAAAAACGAAUAACUUCAGGGAAGAAGGGAACCUGCACGGUGACCUCCCCUGUCGGGCCACCCAAUACCUUCAAAAUGCCGCCGUCCUAGCGGUGGCAGACGAAAAAAAAACAAGAAAAACAAAAUAGAAACAGGCACGGUGGCCCGUUCACCUUCACACAACCCUCCGAGUACCGCUUCCAUGUUGCUUCCCCGCAAGUCCACCUCUUUGGUGAGCGCGGGGGAGGUCCGCAUCAAAUUCACCUGAAUGUCACAGCAGUCAGACAGCCAUUCAUGGAAACAAUAAAACUUUCAACAACGGAUCUCUUGGUUCCC
Molecule: unclassified non-coding RNA, 352 nt
Filed under: plant metagenome
Description: partial contains small subunit ribosomal RNA, internal transcribed spacer 1, and 5.8S ribosomal RNA
Source: RNAcentral